UACGUAGGGCGCAAGCGUUAUCCGGAUUUAUUGGGCGUAAAGGGCUCGUAGGCGGUUCGUCGCGUCCGGUGUGAAAGUCCAUCGCUUAACGGUGGAUCCGCGCCGGGUACGGGCGGGCUUGAGUGCGGUAGGGGAGACUGGAAUUCCCGGUGUAACGGUGGAAUGUGUAGAUAUCGGGAAGAACACCAAUGGCGAAGGCAGGUCUCUGGGCCGUUACUGACGCUGAGGAGCGAAAGCGUGGGGAGCGAACAGG
This 253-nucleotide ribosomal RNA is filed under the name uncultured bacterium. RNAcentral describes it as "partial 16S ribosomal RNA". It matches the Rfam family "Bacterial small subunit ribosomal RNA", at positions 524 to 776 of the family's 1533-position model. The record is from RNAcentral.